AAAGUCGUAACAAGGUUUCCGUAGGUGAACCUGCGGAAGGAUCAUUACCAAAUCCAAAACUUUUAUCAACACCAAAAAAGUGAACUGAGAAUGGUUUCGUUCCCACUGGAAGAAGUUGUUCUUUUUGCGUUUUUUCUCAGGAAAAACAAAAGAAGAACGGCUCGGACGGUGGGAAUGUUUAUUUUUUCAACCCCUUUUCAACCUCUUACAAUCUUUUAUGCUGAAAGCAAAAAAAAAACGAAACAUGAGACAACUUUUAACGGUGGAUCUCUUGGCUCGU
RNAcentral lists this unclassified non-coding RNA (280 nucleotides) under Ascomycota sp. RNAcentral describes it as "partial contains small subunit ribosomal RNA, internal transcribed spacer 1, and 5.8S ribosomal RNA". The stretch from base 1 to 47 matches the Rfam family "Eukaryotic small subunit ribosomal RNA", at positions 1785 to 1831 of the family's 1831-position model. The record is from RNAcentral. Lineage: Eukaryota; Fungi; Ascomycota.